UAUUGAGUGAAAAGACUUC
Molecule: unclassified non-coding RNA, 19 nt
Filed under: Xanthomonas campestris
Lineage: Bacteria; Pseudomonadati; Pseudomonadota; Gammaproteobacteria; Lysobacterales; Lysobacteraceae
Source: RNAcentral